AUUCUGCCCAUGCGGGGAAGGAUGAGAAGCUUCGACCAAGGUUCGACUCGAGCGCCAACGAGAGAGCGUUGCCGCAGGCAACGACCCGAAGGGCGAAGCGCGCAGCGCUGAGUAAUCCUUCCCCCACCACCA
This 132-nucleotide small RNA is filed under the name Escherichia coli. RNAcentral's name for it is "RtT sRNA". It matches the Rfam family "RtT RNA". Rfam says of the family: This family represents a bacterial cis-regulatory element known as RtT RNA. The exact function of RtT is unknown although it is thought that it may be involved in changing the cellular response in relation to amino acid starvation. The record is from RNAcentral. Lineage: Bacteria; Pseudomonadati; Pseudomonadota; Gammaproteobacteria; Enterobacterales; Enterobacteriaceae.